Molecule: ribosomal RNA, 301 nt
Filed under: uncultured bacterium
Lineage: Bacteria
Description: partial 16S ribosomal RNA
Rfam family: Bacterial small subunit ribosomal RNA
Source: RNAcentral
CAGUCGCCGCGGUAAUACGGAGGGUGCAAGCGUUAAUCGGAAUUACUGGGCGUAAAGCGCACGCAGGCGGUCUGACAAGUCAGAUGUGAAAUCCCCGGGCUUAACCUGGGAACUGCAUUUGAAACUGUCAGGCUGGAGUCUUGUAGAGGGGGGUAGAAUUCCAGGUGUAGCGGUGAAAUGCGUAGAGAUCUGGAGGAAUACCGGUGGCGAAGGCGGCCCCCUGGACAAAGACUGACGCUCAGGUGCGAAAGCGUGGGGAGCAAACAGGAUUAGAUAACCGAGUAGUCCCUGUCUCUUAUAC